UCCUACGGGAGGCAGCAGUAGGGAAUCUUGCACAAUGGGGGAAACCCUGAUGCAGCGAUGCCGCGUGAGUGAAGAAGGCCUUUGGGUUGUAAAGCUCUUUCGUCGGGGAAGAAAAUGACUGUACCCGAAUAAGAAGGUCCGGCUAACUUCGUGCCAGCAGCCGCGGUAAU
This 170-nucleotide ribosomal RNA is filed under the name uncultured Alphaproteobacteria bacterium. RNAcentral describes it as "partial 16S ribosomal RNA". It matches the Rfam family "Bacterial small subunit ribosomal RNA", at positions 337 to 524 of the family's 1533-position model. The record is from RNAcentral. Lineage: Bacteria; Pseudomonadati; Pseudomonadota; Alphaproteobacteria.